UAAAGAAUUUCGGUAUGGGAUGGGGAUGCGUUCCAUUAGUUAGUUGGCGGGGUAACGGCCCACCAAGACAACGAUGGAUAGGGGUUCUGAGAGGAAGGUCCCCCACAUUGGAACUGAGACACGGUCCAAACUCCUACGGGAGGCAGCAGUGAGGAAUAUUGGUCAAUGGACGAGAGUCUGAACCAGCCAAGUAGCGUGAAGGAUGACUGCCCUAUGGGUUGUAAACUUCUUUUAUAUGGGAAUAAAACGUUCCACGUGUGGAAUUUUGUAUGUACCAUAUGAAUAAGGAUCGGCUAACUCCGUGCCAGCAGCCGCGGUAAUACGGAGGAUCCGAGCGUUAUCCGGAUUUAUUGGGUUUAAAGGGAGCGUAGGUGGAUUGUUAAGUCAGUUGUGAAAGUUUGCGGCUCAACCGUAAAAUUGCAGUUGAAACUGGCAGUCUUGAGUACAGUAGAGGUGGGCGGAAUUCGUGGUGUAGCGGUGAAAUGCUUAGAUAUCACGAAGAACUCCGAUUGCGAAGGCAGCUCACUGGACUGCAACUGACACUGAGGCUCGAAAGUGUGGGUAUCAAACAGGAUUAGAUACCCUGGUAGUCCACACAGUAAACGAUG
This 608-nucleotide ribosomal RNA is filed under the name uncultured bacterium. RNAcentral's name for it is "bacterial SSU rRNA". It matches the Rfam family "Bacterial small subunit ribosomal RNA", at positions 202 to 811 of the family's 1533-position model. The record is from RNAcentral.